GACCGUCAGUAGGUAGGUCGGAUAGUUUGUCCUCUAGUGGCUUUCGAUGUUGCAAUAAAAAUAUUUUUUCUUAUCAUCGGCCUUCUUUAGAACCUGCUUCUUAAGUUUGGCCUCAUUCUUCUAUUUCUUCAUAGGUUUUUUCUUCUUCUUAAAAAAAGACUUUCUUUUGGAAGAAAUCUGCUCCACUACUAGAAUUAUACCCCUUGAAAUCUUGAAGGUGCCCUCUGCUGUUACCAGCAUAUUUAAUAACUCAAGCA
RNAcentral lists this long non-coding RNA (257 nucleotides) under Elaeis guineensis (African oil palm). RNAcentral describes it as "long non-coding RNA (EGUI_LNC054967)". The record is from RNAcentral. Lineage: Eukaryota; Viridiplantae; Streptophyta; Magnoliopsida; Arecales; Arecaceae.